This 1574-nucleotide long non-coding RNA is filed under the name Solanum tuberosum (potato). Its description in RNAcentral is "long non-coding RNA (STUB_LNC008998)". The record is from RNAcentral. Lineage: Eukaryota; Viridiplantae; Streptophyta; Magnoliopsida; Solanales; Solanaceae.
GGAGCGAUACACAAGAACUCCAUGGUUCUUAAGCUACACUAUAUGAAAGUUUAGACUUCAUUUGCUCCAUUUACCAAUCAACUUAAGAAAUACAUCCAAGAAGUUCGAACAAGUAAGUUUUUUCAAAACUAUUGAGAUUUUAAUUGCAUAGAUAGCAAAGACUAUUCAACUUUUGUCUUUCAGAUUCAAUUUUGUAGCUUUGUGCUUAAUAGAAUGGAUGGUUUUGGGGGGGUCAUGUAUCAAUUUCAUUUCCUUUCAAUGAACAAUAUAUGCAAGAAGCAAUAGAAAUACAGAAUACUGAGCUAAGUUGAAAAUGUUUCAUCAUAUUAGUUUAAAAACUCCCUUCAAUGUGAUAUCUCAUUAUUGAUGAUCGUAAUAUUCCACUGAUAGUCCACGACUGUUUGACCAAUCAUGGUUCUCUCCAGAAGGAAUAAUUAAACCAAGAACUGACUCGAUUCCUUGUUAUACGUAAUGGUUCUCUUUAGUAUUGAUGUUUUAGGAUAUAAAAGUCAUUGUGAAUGCAAUCGAUAGUUCUCUAGGAUUUAAUGCAAUCACUGUGAAUGCAAUUUGUAGACCUUUUAGUCUUGUGAUACACUAUUGAAUGUAAUCUUUUUUUGUCUCCCAACCUUCUACAUCAAGACAUAAAACCAUGAAAACUAUAGACGAUUUAGACUUGUGAUACACUACUAAAUGGACAGUUGAAAUCCUGGUAGGAAACUCUACAACUAUGAGGAAACCAUAACAAAUUUCAAUCAUGAACAAAUUUGGAUCAGAUUUGAAAUUUAAUAGGACGUUUUAGACUUGAAGUUCUGAUUGAAAACACUCGAAGUCUUUUUUCAGUACUAUUAUAAUCUAAGAGCAUCCAGCGAGUUGAAUACCUUCUAGGAAGAUUAUCCAACAGCAGACAUCUAUAUGAUGCUAGCCUGCUACUAGUUCCUUUCGGAAUUGCCUCUAUUGUCUUCUCUUGAUACAACGCAUACUGUCCGCUACAUAUUUGGGUAGAAUUUGAAUUCCAGAUGAUCUACCCGUUUCUCCUUGGACCUCAACUAUCCAUAUGCACUCUAUAUAAAGAGAUGUUGUUGAGUCUCUAUGAUAUCCAUAGCACACAUUCUUGAUGGGGAAUUUCUCCAUUUGAACUAUCUUUUGUCCUCGAAUUUUUGUGUUUUGAUAUAGAUUUGAAUUCUUGCUUAAUGCAUAUCAAAGCUUUCCUAAUUAAUUUUCUUAUAUUCAUGCAGCUUGUUUAUGUUUCUAGAUAACCCUCGCAGAAUUUUAGAGUUUUUUUGGGAUGAGAAGUUUAACUAAUUUUAGUAUACAGUUUACAUAUUACUCCAAAUAUAUACCAAUAGUUACUUAUGGUCUUCUCAAAAAAUUUGUACUUGCAGAUUUUGAAGAUUGAAGUUACAAGGCAAGAUACAAGUUUAGAAGAUGGAAAAGAUCAUUAUUAUUUUGCUAUGGAAGUUAUACAAAACAUGAUAUCAUGGUCUAGCUUGAGAUGUUGAUUAGCUAAGCUUUUUUGUUCAGAAAAUAUUGAAACUAACAUCAUGGGAUGUUAACCAAUUUUUAUAUUUAUAUCA